CCUACGGGAGGCAGCAGUGGGGAAUAUUGGGCAAUGGGCGAAAGCCUGACCCAGCCACGCCGCGUGAGUGAUGAAGGCCUUCGGGUCGUAAAGCUCUGUGGGGAGGGACGAAUAAGUGCCGUACUAACACUACGGCGCCCUGACGGUACCUCCUUAGCAAGCACCGGCUAACCAUGUGCCAGCAGCCGCGGUAAUACAUGGGGUGCAAACGUUGCUCGGAAUCAUUGGGCGUAAAGCGCGCGUAGGCGGUUACUUAAGUCGGAUGUGAAAGCCCUCGGCUUAACUGAGGAAGUGCACCCGAAACUGAGUAGCUAGAGUACGAAAGAGGGUCGCGGAAUUCCCGGUGUAGAGGUGAAAUUCGUAGAUAUCGGGAGGAACACCGGUGGCGAAGGCGGCGACCUGGGUCGAGACUGACGCUGAGGCGCGAAAGCGUGGGGAGC
This 440-nucleotide ribosomal RNA is filed under the name uncultured bacterium. Its description in RNAcentral is "bacterial SSU rRNA". It matches the Rfam family "Bacterial small subunit ribosomal RNA", at positions 338 to 769 of the family's 1533-position model. The record is from RNAcentral.